Molecule: ribosomal RNA, 261 nt
Filed under: uncultured bacterium
Lineage: Bacteria
Description: partial 16S ribosomal RNA
Rfam family: Bacterial small subunit ribosomal RNA
Source: RNAcentral
UUAGUGGCGGACGGUGAGUAACGCGUGGAAAACCUGCCGUAUACUGGGGGAUAACACUUAGAAAUAGGUGCUAAUACCGCAUAAGCGCACAGCUUCGCAUGAAGCGGUGUGAAAAACUCUGGUGGUAUACGAUGGUUCCGCGUCUGAUUAGCUAGUUGGUGGGGUAAUGGCCUACCAAGGCAACGAUCAGUAGCCGGCCUGAGAGGGUGAACGGCCACAUUGGGACUGAGACACGGCCCAAACUCCUACGGGAGGCAGCAG